Molecule: long non-coding RNA, 373 nt
Organism: Triticum dicoccoides
Lineage: Eukaryota; Viridiplantae; Streptophyta; Magnoliopsida; Poales; Poaceae
Exons: 2
Source: RefSeq, a predicted model, not a curated record
UAUAACAUAGAGAAGGAAAAAAGGCCGUCAUGGCAAUAUUCAAGAAGAACACAAGUGCCCAGUGUUUGUUGGCUCUUGUGCUCAUGGCCGCUGUCAUUUCGUCUUGUGAUGCGUUUGGCCAAGAAGGAGGAUGUUUCAUGCCUUUCCUGCAAUGCGAUCUGGACAUGUGCAGGCGUGACUGCAACGGUUUAUUUGCCUAUUGCACACCGAUAGGCGAAUUUCACCACCGAUGUUGUUGCGCUCCCAAGAAACUCAGUGCAUCUGUUGAUAAGAAUAGUCGUCCUUGAGAUAUGCAUUCCUAAAUUGUAGUUUAUAUGUCACUGCUUUUUUCUGGAUCCAAUUCUGCCCGAUUGAAUAAAAUUUAUCACCAUUG